RNAcentral lists this ribosomal RNA (440 nucleotides) under uncultured bacterium. RNAcentral's name for it is "bacterial SSU rRNA". It matches the Rfam family "Bacterial small subunit ribosomal RNA", at positions 958 to 1397 of the family's 1533-position model. The record is from RNAcentral.
AACGCGAAGAACCUUACCUGGGCUUGAACCGCACAGGACCAGCUCCAGAAAUGGGGCCUUCCCGCAAGGGACCUGUGUAGAGGUGCUGCAUGGCUGUCGUCAGCUCGUGUCGUGAGAUGUUGGGUUAAGUCCCGCAACGAGCGCAACCCUUAUCUUCAGUUGCUACCAUUUAGUUGAGCACUCUGACGAAACCGCCUCGGAUAACGGGGAGGAAGGUGGGGAUGACGUCAAGUCCUCAUGGCCUUUAUGUCCAGGGCUACACACGUGCUACAAUGGCCGGUACAAACCGCUGCAAACCCGCGAGGGGGAGCUAAUCGGAAAAAGCCGGCCUCAGUUCGGAUUGGAGUCUGCAACUCGACUCCAUGAAGCUGGAAUCGCUAGUAAUCGUGGAUCAGCAUGCCACGGUGAAUACGUUCCCGGGCCUUGUACACACCGAUAGC